ACAUGAAGUUCUCUUGAAUCAGCCAAGUCAGUUGUCAGUCCUAACCAAGCUGUUUUUUGCCUUGCAUUUCGGUACAGAGUUGAGUUCAUGUCAGGUCUUUAAAACGUCCUUUUCAAGCAUAUCUUUCAGUAAACAUCGAUUACUUAAUAUGCAAGGAAUACAGUGGUGGAAAUACCACAUUCAGGCUCUAGGAUUCGACACUUCUGCAAAUACUUGGAAGACCUACCCUGGGCCAGGCUGUGUGCCAGGUGAGGGGGAUGCAAGAAGGAACAGCAGGCUUUCAGGUUGACCCUGUCUGGAAGCACCUUGAGGCAUGAUAAGAGAGGAACACCUGCCUUUGUUAGCUGGGUUUAUAGCAGGGCCCUGUUUAACUUAGCUUCCCCAUUAGACAUACACUGAAAACUGAGAACCCAUCUCUUGGCUGUUUGCACAGAGCUGGUGAUUAAGCCUCCUUCUCUUUUUGCAGAGCAAAAAGUUUCAAGCUCUGUGGAAUAGUUUCAAGCUCUUGGAAGAAGAAGGAAGACUCCAUGCCAAGUCUUAGAUAUCCAACUCAAUUCAGCGAAGAUGUAUUGAGGUCUACUAAGCAACAGGAUACGACUCCAUCCUUAGGGGCCCCACUGUUCAUUCAUUCACAAACGUUAGGUUAGGACCCCAUCAAGAGAAAAACACAGCAAGUCGAAUUCAGGCCAAAUGGAAGAGUUGCCAGAAGAGACAUUUAAAUACACUGUGGUGCAGGUGUGAGAACAGGAGCUGGCCCCUGAAGCGGGAAGAAUCGGAAACACUCCUGGAAGAGGUAGCCCUGGCUAAGGGCCUGGAACCACUUUUACAGGCAGAUGUUGGGGGUGAAGAAGGCCCUGCAAAAAAUAGAAUCACCUAUAUCUCCAAUAUUGUUUAUUUGUACAGCAAAAUUCUCCUACCUUGGAACAUCAACGUUGGAAAUGGAUUUGGAAAUUGCUUAUUCUGCAAACAUCCUUUGAGCAGGAAUCUGGAUCCUUCCUUUCUGUGUGUGGCCUGCCAACUCUAACCCCUGGUUCCAGGGCAAAGGGGGAGAUCAUGAAGGACCAUCAAUGGGAGAGUUCAUGGACUACAUUUCAGAACUUGGUCAAACCUAACGCAAGGCAUCUGGGAAAUGAAGCCUAGCUGUGUGCUGGAAGGAGAAGAAAAGAGGUUUGGAGUACGGGAAGCCUGGCAUGCCACACCAGGGCCCCAGCAGUAACGUUUUGAGCUGUGCUGUAUGGAUGUUUAUCUCCUCUCUGUCCCAGGGUGCUGAGUGGUGACCAAAUUCUUUCAAAAAUUUGGGCCAAAAGAAAAGGA
RNAcentral lists this long non-coding RNA (1314 nucleotides) under Macaca mulatta (Rhesus monkey). Its description in RNAcentral is "lncRNA (ENSMMUG00000059004.1)". Lineage: Eukaryota; Metazoa; Chordata; Mammalia; Primates; Cercopithecidae. The record is from RNAcentral.